This 89-nucleotide microRNA precursor is filed under the name Phaseolus vulgaris (common bean). RNAcentral describes it as "pre miRNA mir-156". It matches the Rfam family "mir-156 microRNA precursor family". From Rfam's summary of the family: This family represents the plant microRNA (miRNA) precursor mir-156. The record is from Rfam by way of RNAcentral. Lineage: Eukaryota; Viridiplantae; Streptophyta; Magnoliopsida; Fabales; Fabaceae.
GUGACAGAAGAGAGUGAGCACAGAUGGUAUUUUCUUGCAAGAUAACGAUUUAUGCUUGAAGCUAUGCGUGCUUACUCUCUAUCUGUCAC